AGUAAACACAACCAUAAGUUUUCGUGUCCAACUUUGAUCAUUCGUCUUAUUUGAAUUUUUUUUAUGAUUUGUAUUUUUAUUGUUAUUAGAUUAUAAAACAUGAAUAGUACACUUUAUGCGUGACUUGUGCUUUUUAUUUUUUUCAAAAAAAAUAAUAAGACAGACAAUUAAAGUUGGACACUUAAACUUAUGGAUGUGCUUAUU
Molecule: non-coding RNA, 204 nt
Organism: Oryza barthii
Lineage: Eukaryota; Viridiplantae; Streptophyta; Magnoliopsida; Poales; Poaceae
Source: Rfam